GAUUCAGAUUAGCUAGUUGGUGGGGUAUAGCCUACCAAGGCGACGUAUCUGUAGCGGGUCUGAGAGGAUGAUCCGCCACACUGGAACUGAGACACGGUCCAGACUCCUACGGGAGGCAGCAGUGGGGAAUUUUGGACAAUGGGGGCAACCCUGAUCCAGCCAUGCCGCGUGAGUGAAGAAGGCCUUCGGGUUGUAAAGCUCUUUCAGCCGGGAAGAAAUCGUACAGGCUAAUACCCUGUGCGGAUGACGGUACCGGAAUAAGAAGCACCGGCUAACUACGUGCCAGCAGCCGCGGUAAUACGUAGGGUGCGAGCGUUAAUCGGAAUUACUGGGCGUAAAGCGUGCGCAGGCGGUUUUGUAAGACAGGCGUGAAAUCCCCGGGCUUAACCUGGGAACU
Molecule: ribosomal RNA, 397 nt
Filed under: uncultured beta proteobacterium
Lineage: Bacteria; Pseudomonadati; Pseudomonadota; Betaproteobacteria
Description: bacterial SSU rRNA
Rfam family: Bacterial small subunit ribosomal RNA
Source: RNAcentral